AAAGAAACGUAAAAGAAAUAUAGAGGAAAAGAGAUAUAGAGCCCAGCCCGGCCGCAACCACCCGCCCCGAGCGCCGAGGAGCAAAUGGCACCGCCGGGUCCCGCCGCGGUUUAAAUCCCCUCAGCCCCGCCCCGCGCAGGCGCUCUGGGGCCCCGCGCACCUGUGCGGCCCCGCCCCUCACACCUGUGCGGCCCCGCCCCUCACACCUGUGCCGGGCCGGCCCCGCCCAUAAAUCCCGGCGGAUCCGCGCCCGCUCCGCUCCAUGCGGGAAUGAUCGGCCCGGGGCGCGGCGGGAGCGCCGCUCGGAGCGCUGCGCGGAGCUCGGGGCGCUGAGAGCACAGGAGGUUCCGAGUUGGAAAGGGCCACGAGGAUCAUCGAGUCAAAUGUGGGGACUGAGUUCAGAAUCUUCCGAGGAUCAUCGAGUCAAACGUGGGGACUGAGUUCAGAAUCUUGGCCUUAUCAGCACCCUGCUCCAGCCUGGUAUUAUUUAAGGUUGCAUUUCUGGAUUUGUUUCAUUGGAUUCUGGGAAUUUUUUUUUUGGGGGGGGGAUGAAGUAUUUUUUCUUUAAAGCAUGACUUGAAAUAAAAAAAACCUUUUUCCCAUUCUGACAAAAGUUAUCUUUAAAAGUAGCUAAAAGGGUCUCAGUUCCGUAGAGGUUUACAACAGAACAGCAAUUUUGAACGUUGCUAACAAUAAACGUGUCUAGGUGGUCUAGCCACAA
This is a non-coding RNA of Taeniopygia guttata (zebra finch), 721 nucleotides long. The record is from RefSeq and is a predicted model, not a curated record. Lineage: Eukaryota; Metazoa; Chordata; Aves; Passeriformes; Estrildidae.